GGUCGUCUCCUGUUGGAAGAGAAGAGACCAGAGCACGAAUGGGAACGACAUUUUGAAAACCAUAUCACUAUACUUCCACUUUACUGCAAUUCACCUUUUUUUUUUUCCCCCUGCGAGUCUAUAUCAUAAAAUCCUAAAUGAAUGCGUCUUGGCUUCUCUUUGCAGAACUGUGUUUUGGUUUUGUGCUUCAUCUCGAGGGACGGCCAAGAACGCGUAAAGCCCCUGAUCGAUAAUCACGGACGGCGCAUUCCCUCCACGCGAUCAUCUUUUGAUGCUUUCCGACGUCGCCCGUCAACCGGGGCGGGAUUCGUAAAGGUUUACUGUUGUGUCUUCGAGUUUCAAAGCGAAAAGCCGCUGACGCACGUCGGUCCCCGAGGUGGCUGAGAAGAGCGAUCGUUUUAUCUCUGUGUCAGAGUGGACAGAUGUCUCUGUGAGUCUGCUCACGUCCCUACUGUCCAGACCUGCCGGCAACAUGCAUCCGAGUUCAUUUUACUGCAAGUGUUUUACCAGGAAUGAGUUUAGUGAACAGUUUUGCACAAACCAUGUCAGUGAAGAAGAUGUCCUGGUCAGAUAAGGUCAACAUUGAACUUUCUUCCCUGCAUGCAAAAUUCUACGUCUGAACUCUGAAUGUGCUAUCGCACAGUUAAAAGUCUGGUGGUGGCAGCAUCAUGCUGAUGGGAUGAUUUUCUUCAGCAGGGACCAGAGGCGGGUAAAGUAGCACUACUUAAACAUAUUUUUACUCAAGUAAAAGUAAGGGGAAAAAAAAAAGAAGAAUUUGUUAUAAAGGCAACUUAAGUACCAAAAAUCUGUCAUUUAAU
Poecilia reticulata (guppy) is the source of this 818-nucleotide non-coding RNA. NCBI's taxonomy places the organism in Eukaryota, Metazoa, Chordata, Actinopteri, Cyprinodontiformes, Poeciliidae. The record is from RefSeq and is a predicted model, not a curated record.